AAGACCUUGCGCUUUUAGAGCGGCCGAUGCCUGAUUAGCUUGUUGGUAAGGUAAAAGCUUACCAAGGCUUCGAUCAGUAGCUGGUCUGAGAGGACGGCCAGCCACACUGGGACUGAGACACGGCCCAGACUCCUACGGGAGGCAGCAGUGGGGAAUUUUGGACAAUGGGGGCAACCCUGAUCCAGCCAUGCCGCGUGAGUGAAGAAGGCCUUCGGGUUGUAAAGCUCUUUCAGCCGGAACGAAACGGUUACGGUUAAUACCCGUGACUACUGACGGUACCGGAAGAAGAAGCACCGGCUAACUACGUGCCAGCAGCCGCGGUAAUACGUAGGGUGCGAGCGUUAAUCGGAAUUACUGGGCGUAAAGCGUGCGCAGGUGGUUUUGUAAGUCAGAUGUGAAAUCCCCGGGCUCAACCUGGGAACU
This 423-nucleotide ribosomal RNA is filed under the name uncultured bacterium. Its description in RNAcentral is "bacterial SSU rRNA". It matches the Rfam family "Bacterial small subunit ribosomal RNA", at positions 207 to 622 of the family's 1533-position model. The record is from RNAcentral.